GGGCCUGUAACUCAGCGGUAGAGUACCUGCCUUUUAAGCAGGGAGUCGAUGAUUCGAAUUCAUCCAGGCUCACCA
Molecule: transfer RNA, 75 nt
Filed under: Clostridiales bacterium
Lineage: Bacteria; Bacillati; Bacillota; Clostridia; Eubacteriales
Also listed under: 2 other names
Description: tRNA-Lys
Rfam family: tRNA
About the family: Transfer RNA (tRNA) molecules are approximately 80 nucleotides in length. Their secondary structure includes four short double-helical elements and three loops (D, anti-codon, and T loops).
Source: RNAcentral